GAUGAACGCUGGCGGCGUGCCUAAUACAUGCAAGUCGAGCGAACAGAUGAGGAGCUUGCUCCUCUGACGUUAGCGGCGGACGGGUGAGUAACACGUGGAUAACCUACCUAUAAGACUGGGAUAACUUCGGGAAACCGGAGCUAAUACCGGAUAAUAUAUUGAACCGCAUGGUUCAAUAGUGAAAGACGGUUUUGCUGUCACUUAUAGAUGGAUCCGCGCCGCAUUAGCUAGUUGGUACGGUAACGGCUUACCAAGGCAACGAUGGGUAGCCGACCUGAGAGAGUGAUCGCCCACACUGGAGCUGAGCCACGGACCAUAGUCCUAAGGGAGGCAGCAGUAGGGAAUCUGACGCAAUGGGCGAAAGCCUGACGGAGCGGCGCCGCGUGAGUGAUGAAGGUCUUCGGAUCGUAAAAAUCUGUUAUUAGGGAAGAACAAAUGUGUAAGUGACUAUGCACGUCUUGACGGUACCUAAUCAGAAAGCCACGGCUAACUACGUG
RNAcentral lists this ribosomal RNA (497 nucleotides) under uncultured bacterium. RNAcentral's name for it is "partial 16S ribosomal RNA". It matches the Rfam family "Bacterial small subunit ribosomal RNA", at positions 28 to 507 of the family's 1533-position model. The record is from RNAcentral.